GCAAGUCGAACGAAGCGCCUUUGAACAAGUUUUCGGACAAGGGAUAAGGUUGCUUAGUGGCGGACGGGUGAGUAACGCGUGAGUAACCUACCUUGGAGAGGGGAAUAACACAGCGAAAGCUGUGCUAAUACCGCAUGAUGCAACGGGAUCACAUGGUCCUGUUGCCAAAGAUUUAUCGCUCUGAGAUGGACUCGCGUCUGAUUAGCUAGUUGGUGAGGUAGUGGCUCACCAAGGCGACGAUCAGUAGCCGGACUGAGAGGUUGAAC
Molecule: ribosomal RNA, 266 nt
Filed under: uncultured bacterium
Lineage: Bacteria
Description: partial 16S ribosomal RNA
Rfam family: Bacterial small subunit ribosomal RNA
Source: RNAcentral